GACGAACGCUGGCGGCGUGCUUAACACAUGCAAGUCGAACGGAAAGGCCCUGCUUUUGUGGGGUGCUCGAGUGGCGAACGGGUGAGUAACACGUGAGUAACCUGCCCUUGACUUUGGGAUAACUUCAGGAAACUGGGGCUAAUACCGGAUAGGAGCUCCUGCUGCAUGGUGGGGGUUGGAAAGUUUCGGCGGUUGGGGAUGGACUCGCGGCUUAUCAGCUUGUUGGUGGGGUAGUGGCUUACCAAGGCUUUGACGGGUAGCCGGCCUGAGAGGGUGACCGGCCAAAUGGGGACUGAGAUACGGCCCAGACCCCUAGGGGGGGCAGGAGGGGGGAAUAUUGCAAAAGGGGGGGAAGCCUGAGGCAGAAACCCCGGGGGGGGGAGGAGGGCCUUGGGGUGGAAACCCGUUUUCCCCUGGGACGAAGCGGGAGUGACGGUAAUGGGAAAAGAAGCACCGGCUAACUACGU
RNAcentral lists this ribosomal RNA (467 nucleotides) under uncultured bacterium. RNAcentral describes it as "partial 16S ribosomal RNA". It matches the Rfam family "Bacterial small subunit ribosomal RNA", at positions 28 to 506 of the family's 1533-position model. The record is from RNAcentral.